Molecule: transfer RNA, 87 nt
Filed under: Rickettsia endosymbiont of Pyrocoelia pectoralis
Lineage: Bacteria; Pseudomonadati; Pseudomonadota; Alphaproteobacteria; Rickettsiales; Rickettsiaceae
Also listed under: 1 other name
Description: tRNA-Leu
Rfam family: tRNA
About the family: Transfer RNA (tRNA) molecules are approximately 80 nucleotides in length.
Source: RNAcentral
GCGGUCGUGGCGAAAUUGGUAGACGCGCAGCAUUGAGGGUGCUGUUCUGUAAAAAGAUUGGAAGUUCAAAUCUUCUCGACCGCACCA